AGAUUGAACGCUGGCGGCAGGCCUAACACAUGCAAGUCGAGCGGUAGAGAGGUGCUUGCACCUCUUGAGAGCGGCGGACGGGUGAGUAAUGCCUAGGAAUCUGCCUAGUGGUGGGGGAUAACGUUCGGAAACGGACGCUAAUACCGCAUACGUCCUACGGGAGAAAGCGGGGGACCUUCGGGCCUCGCGCCAUUAGAUGAGCCUAGGUCGGAUUAGCUAGUUGGUGAGGUAAUGGCUCACCAAGGCGACGAUCCGUAACUGGUCUGAGAGGAUGAUCAGUCACACUGGAACUGAGACACGGUCCAGACUCCUACGGGAGGCAGCAGUGGGGAAUAUUGGACAAUGGGCGAAAGCCUGAUCCAGCCAUGCCGCGUGUGUGAAGAAGGCCUUCGGAUUGUAAAGCACUUUAAGUUGGAGGAAGGUUGUAACUUAAUACGUUGCAACUUUGACGUUACCGACAGAAUAAGCACCGGCUAACUUCGUGCCAGCAGCCGCGUAAC
RNAcentral lists this ribosomal RNA (500 nucleotides) under uncultured soil bacterium. RNAcentral's name for it is "bacterial SSU rRNA". It matches the Rfam family "Bacterial small subunit ribosomal RNA", at positions 26 to 524 of the family's 1533-position model. The record is from RNAcentral.